This 429-nucleotide ribosomal RNA is filed under the name Bacteroidota bacterium. RNAcentral describes it as "Bacteroidetes bacterium partial 16S ribosomal RNA". It matches the Rfam family "Bacterial small subunit ribosomal RNA", at positions 355 to 776 of the family's 1533-position model. The record is from RNAcentral. Lineage: Bacteria; Pseudomonadati; Bacteroidota.
UAGGGAAUCUUCCGCAAUGGACGCAAGUCUGACGGAGCAACGCCGCGUGAGUGAAGAAGGAUUUCGGUUCGUAAAACUCUGUUGUUAGAGAAGAACAGCGCAUAGAGUAACUGUUAUGCGUGUGACGGUAUCUAACCAGAAAGCCACGGCUAACUACGUGCCAGCAGCCGCGGUAAUACGUAGGUGGCAAGCGUUGUCCGGAUUUAUUGGGCGUAAAGCGAGCGCAGGCGGUCAAUUAAGUCUGAUGUGAAAGCCCCCGGCUCAACCGGGGGGGGUCAUUGGAAACUGGUUGACUUGAGUGCAGAAGAGGAGAGUGGAAUUCCAUGUGUAGCGGUGAAAUGCGUAGAUAUAUGGAGGAACACCAGUGGCGAAGGCCACUCUCUGGUCUGUAACUGACGCUGAGGCUCGAAAGCGUGGGUAGCAAACAGG